This is a long non-coding RNA of Sorghum bicolor (sorghum), 2207 nucleotides long. RefSeq lists it as uncharacterized. The transcript is spliced from 4 exons. The record is from RefSeq and is a predicted model, not a curated record. Lineage: Eukaryota; Viridiplantae; Streptophyta; Magnoliopsida; Poales; Poaceae.
CGCGGUGGAGGACGUGGUGGGCUUCAGGUGCGGCCACUCGCUCACCGCCAUCGCUUCAGGUCCGUAUCACUACCAGUAUCCUCCAAUUUUGAUCCAUCUUUUAUUGGUUUUGAUGAAUUGGAUGAAGCAAUGGCUGUUUUGAGAAGCUGUAAUGGUGGCGGCUUCCAUAUGCACCGUGUUGCUGGUGAUGAAGGCAUUGACAGUUUGCAGAGUGUCAAUGAUAGCAGAAUCCUGGUGGCCACAGUUUUAGUUUCUAAAGUGCAGUCUCUUAUUCUUCUUUACUGAUCCCUAACCCUUAAGCCUGUGCAUUUUGAUCGCAUAGAUUCUAUACCAAUGGUUCCAUCUACUGUCAUCGCUAGCUUGCAGUUUAGACAAAGCUGUUAAUCUAUCUUCUUUAAUGGGGAAAACAUUUGAUGUGUCCCCAGGUUACACAAACUUGAAUUAUUCAAAGUGAACUUCUGUUUGAGUUUCGUUUCUCUUGUGCAUAUGAUGCCCUUAGGAUCUGUUAAAUGAAAGCUCAAGAUUUGUUUGCACAUUAAAUUUGAGUUUGGCAUUUUUCAAAACUGCAAGGGGAGCUAGAGGAUAUCCAAAGAGAAAGCACGAAUGGCUGCAUCUCAGGUGAAUGGGCCUAUACUGGUGAAGGAUACUUGCCUAUGUUUUAAUCCACUCAAAGGCCUACUAGGUGAUUUAUUUUUGUUGUUCUUCAAAGUCCUCUCAUUUGCUAGGUUCUACAAAUACUAUCCGGCACACACAACAUUUAAGCUAUUUAGGCUCUGCAUAUCAUAUUGUUGUUAGAGAUUUAAGCUUUUCUGUUUGGAGCUCCCUUAUAGAUUUAUCUGGUUUUGGAGUUAGAGAAAUUUGUCUUGAAGGGGAUCAUGUUCGUCCCAGUGAAAGGAUUGCUGCAUCUGCAGAUCUUCAAUGCCUGUGUCGUAAAAUAUGCAGUUUUGCAUCUCCAUUUUGAUAAGAAUAUGGCUGCACAUUCUGCCUGUGACUUUAGAGGUGGGAGAGCUGAACUAGGUCUCCCUAAGUACAGGCAAGUUAUAUGGCCAGGGAUGGUUUCAAACUCACAGCUAAGCGACGAGGAGCUUUGGAACACAGGACGCCGCACGUUGACAACUCUAACUUCCUUCUCACAAGGUUUGACUCUUUUGUGCACCAACUUACUCUUGCCGGAGAAAUCAAAAGGUUUUAAUAUGGCUCACAUAUUCAGGUAUAUGAUGAGAAGCCAGGAUCUCGAGCUUGCACAAAACAUUUCCAUUAACAUGGCUUGCAUCUUCAUUUUUCUGAUUAUGAUUUGUCAAGAGAGCUGCAGGCACUAGGAUUUAAUAGUAAAACUCCACUCUAAAAGCUUACUUGUUGUGCUCACCUCAGGAGGUAAAUAAGCAACUCAAUGUGCUUCAACCAGUGGCCUCUGUCUCCCUCAAUGCAUUUGUGCUCAUCUUUUUGUAUUCUAUUUGCAUUAGAUAGGUAAAUCCUUGAGCUUACAUAUACCACUGCACUAUUUGUUAAGUGGCUGAAACUGAAUGGAAGACCAAUUCCUACAAGCUGGAAUUUUUUUAGUGUUAUUUUUUACCCUAAGGACAUAUUUUCAUUGCUGAAUUGUGCAUUUCUUUUGAAUACAAUUGGCCGUCUCGAAUCAAAGCGCAGCGCCAUGGAGAUGCAGAGCUGGUAAUAUGAGGAUUCAAUUGAUGCAGAGCUGGUAACAUCUUUGCUGCUGUCCUAGAAGAUUCCAAAUCCUAGCGCCUAGAUGGAUUAAACAUAGAUUAAGCGUUUGUUCUUUAUAUAUAUAUAUUUUAUUUUUUCUGUCAACACCAUGGCUCAGAUUAGAUGUGCCCAACUUCAAUCUUAGAAGGAAUUGUAACACAUUAAGGCAAUUUUGAUUCCAAAUCUUCCAAACUUGGAAGAGGUGAAAAGACUUGCAACCAAAAUUAUCUAGGUGCUGUGAUCUUGUGUGACAUUGUAGGGAAGUUGGAGAAGCAGAAGCUGUAGCACGCUUGGAGGGGGUUCGUUAGACGCAGAAACAAAAGCUGCUGCAUGCUCGAGUCUUGUUGCGAAGCUCAAGAAUUGAGAAGUUUGGAGUGAAGCAAAAUAAAUUUAUGCAUGAGUCUUGUCAAUGUCAAAGAUGUAGUAUUCUUUUUUUGUGUGUCAAGAGUCUUGUUUUGUAAUGAUAUUGUUGAAUCUGUGAUAAUAAAGCUCUCUUUGGCAAA